AAAAUUCAACCCUGAAAUUAUCAUCCCUUGUUUGAAACCCCAUCAAGCCUAUUUAUCCCAUUUUUUGUUUAUAACUCAUUACAAUCCUAAAAGUAAAGAAAACAAUGUUAUGACCCUAUUUAAGGGUAUGAAUGAGUCUUAUCUGGAUUUGUGUGGGGUUGAAUUAGUAUAGUUGUGUUGUGAUAUUUCAAAAGUUGGCAAAAAAAGAAGAAGAUAAUAGAAAAAGAAAAUAAAGAAGGAAGAAAAUUCAUUUUACUAUUUCUUUUGUAAAAAAAGAAAGAAAGAAAGAAAAAACGAGAGAAAGGAGAAAAGAGAAAAGAGAAAAGAGAAGUGAAAAUGGUUGCAAAAAAGUUGUUUGAAAGUGAAUGAAAUAUUGUUAAGUUCGACUCCAGCAGUUU
This 398-nucleotide long non-coding RNA is filed under the name Lathyrus oleraceus (garden pea). RNAcentral's name for it is "Pisum sativum (pea) long non-coding RNA (PSAT_LNC036680)". Lineage: Eukaryota; Viridiplantae; Streptophyta; Magnoliopsida; Fabales; Fabaceae. The record is from RNAcentral.